Molecule: transfer RNA, 73 nt
Filed under: Mus musculus (house mouse)
Lineage: Eukaryota; Metazoa; Chordata; Mammalia; Rodentia; Muridae
Description: tRNA-Ser
Source: RNAcentral
GGAGAGAUGGCUCAGUGGUUAAGAGCACUGACUGCUCUUCCAGAGGUCCUGAGUUCAGUUCCCAGCAACCACA